GCUGACGACGUGACGGGGGCGGGGGGAUGACGUAGGGGGCAAGCGUUUGCCGGGAUCAUUGGGCGGACAGCGCGCGCAGGCGUUCCCUUAAGUCUGAUGUGAAAGCCCACGGCUCAACCGGGUAGGGUCAUCGGAAACUGGGGGACGUGAGUGCAUAAGAGGAAAGCGGAAUUCCAAGAGUAGCGGUGAAAUGCGUAGAGAUUUGGAGGAACACCAGUGGCGAAUGCGGCUUUCUGGUCUGUAACUGACGCUGAGGCGCGAAAGCGUGGGGAGCAAACAGGAUUAGAUACCCUGGUAGUC
This 300-nucleotide ribosomal RNA is filed under the name uncultured Lactobacillus sp. RNAcentral's name for it is "bacterial SSU rRNA". It matches the Rfam family "Bacterial small subunit ribosomal RNA", at positions 496 to 795 of the family's 1533-position model. The record is from RNAcentral. Lineage: Bacteria; Bacillati; Bacillota; Bacilli; Lactobacillales; Lactobacillaceae.